This 1206-nucleotide non-coding RNA is filed under the name Pan troglodytes (chimpanzee). The record is from RNAcentral. Lineage: Eukaryota; Metazoa; Chordata; Mammalia; Primates; Hominidae.
GUGCUGGCCACGCAGGAGGCUUAACCUGGCCGGCGCGGGAAUGGGGUGCAGAGAGCAAAGAAAUGUGGCUUUGAUCUUAUGGAUGCCUUACUUUUACAUUAUUUGUACAGUUCUUGCAGUGAGCUUUCCGGACCACUGUCUUGUAUGUUUCCUAAGAAAAGCAAAAAGGGAAGAGAUUGAAGAGAAAGUAGAUUUUCAACUACAAACUUUCAUCCAUUUGCUUUCAGCUUAAGCAAAUGUGCGCAAAGUUGUCAUGGAUUUUUGCAGUCAAUAAAAACCAAGCAAGAAGACUGAAUCCCAAGUCAUCUGGGGCAGAUAAGAAAAGAAACAAUUUGCUGAAACUCCCUCUGCUUGUAACACAACUGACUGAAAUCAGCCGGAAUCAAUAUGGCCAAAUGCAGUUUGCGCACAGCAAGCUUGCUGUUGUCACAGCCUGAAUUUCUACUGCAUGUUUCAUACGAACUCCCUCCAAAUUUGCACAUGGGACCUACCAGGAAGCAUGAAGAGAGAGCCAUGCAUGCCUGAAGACUUCCCAGAUGUUCCCUUUGCUUCCACCAAUCACCUGCUAAUCCCAGGAUCCAACCCUAAACCUUUUGUAAUAAAAUUACUGCCCUAAAGCCAGUACAAGAAGACAGAUUUGAACUGGACUUCUGUUUCCUCAGAAGUUAACUUGCAAUGUGAAGCUUUCCUUUUCUCAAAAACUUGGUGUCAUAGUGUUGGCUUCUAGUGCAGUGAGCCCCUUUUGCUGGAUAACACUACCUGGUAAUUUGACAUACUAGGUGGUUAGUAACUACUGACUGUCUCCAGGUUACAACACAGUUAUUACCUACUUGGGUGAAAAGAGAAGACAGGAAAUACAUUUUGGAGUUGGCUGGCAACCUGUUUACAAAGCGAUUUACAACAGUUCUUUAUUCUUAAGGGGCUAUUCUAAUAUAAGACCUCAGAGAAACAGUGCAGUGUGACAAAGGAGGAAUUUAUCAAAUGAGACAGAAAAAGCAUCAAGGCAAGCUGUGAAAUGGUGCGGUAGGAACCAAAUAGAGAGCCAAAGGAUCUCUCUGUCACUGCAGGCCCUUAGGGGUAAGCAAAUCCUUCCCUGAUCCCUGGUCUCCUUAUCUGUAAAUAAGAAUACUAGCACCCACCUCACUGUGCUGUAAACAUGAUGAGUUCCAACAAUAAUUUACAAAUUGUAAAAUCACACAAAUCUAA